AUUGAAAUUACACAUUCUCUGAUCAUCCAGCUUAAUAAAUAAAGGCGGUUUGCACAGCAAGGGAUUUUGGAAUGUGUUCAGUUCCCCAAAUCAAGAACACGUCAGUAUAAUAUGUGCUUAAAGUGCUUCAUGGCAGUAAGAUCAUAGUGGGUCAAAAUUAGUUUGGAAAUAUUUUACUUCCUUAACUGUGAAUGUGGUUAGGAUUAACUCGUUUUGUAAAAAUGUGGCUAUUGCAGACAUCAGCUUCGCUUAAAAUUGUUGAAAGGCAAAAAACAGAUGCUCUGAUGCACAAGGGAGAAAACAAGAUACUGAGAGGGAGAUACAGUGUUUCAGGAAACACGAAGAUGGUUAAUCCUCAAAAAGGAUUCGUUAAAAAGACUGUAGGAACAAAGCAGCUUCCAAAACUAAAGCACUGAUUUAAUAUUAAUGCCAAGACCUUCCAAUUGCUUUUAAAAAAUUUAAUUUAACAGGAAGUUUCUAAAUUGAAAAUGAAUGUAUUUGUGCCAUCCUAUUAUACCAAACCCAGAUCGGUAUGUCUUCUUGGCAGCCUUAAUGUAAGUGUUCCUCUGCCUAAAGGAAUUGUUCUUCUAGUUGGCACCUUUAUUCUGGUGAUCUCUGACCCUUUUCACUCUGGUUCUCAUCAGUGACUCAGGAAGCCUUGGAAACAUUGAAGUCCUUUAUACAUUAGGUAGAUCCUUGAACUCUUUGACUGCACAGCAACCACUAAAAACAAACAAACCUCUACAAUUUUUGAUCUCAACCAAGAAGAAGAAAAAGGCAGACUGAUGUAACCUGAAGUAUUAUCUCACCACUCCGAAUGGUAAAUCUCAGAUAAAAUCCAUCCAAGGGCAUCCUCAUUCAGUACAGGCCCCAGAGAGAGACUCUCAAGUAGUCGUAUGAUGGUACAGCUGAACACACCUUUCAUUUAGCUUUUGAAUAGACUGACAGCAUGGUUUACAAGCCAGCCUGAUUUCUUAUGUGAUACCAUACUGUAGGGUCCCUUUACAGCAUAACGUUGUUUUAUAUUCUAUGAGCUUCCUCACUGUAGCAGAGAAGACAAUACAACUCCAAAUUUAACUAUUUUAAAAGCUGGCUUGCUGCAGAUCAUGUGUUGACCACCACUUUCUGUUUGCAUAGUUUAGAAGCACAGCACCAUUUCAUAGAAUCAUAGAAUCAUUUUGGU
This 1183-nucleotide long non-coding RNA is filed under the name Calidris pugnax (ruff). Its description in RNAcentral is "lncRNA (ENSCPUG00000013213.1)". Lineage: Eukaryota; Metazoa; Chordata; Aves; Charadriiformes; Scolopacidae. The record is from RNAcentral.